Long non-coding RNA from Acanthopagrus latus (yellowfin seabream), 3701 nucleotides. RefSeq lists it as uncharacterized. The record is from RefSeq and is a predicted model, not a curated record. The transcript is spliced from 2 exons. Lineage: Eukaryota; Metazoa; Chordata; Actinopteri; Spariformes; Sparidae.
UGUACAUGUGUGGUUUGAAGAUCAACGGUGUUGGUGGCUGAAUCUUUCUUUUUCCAUUUGUUUGGAUUGGAAGUGUGGUGAACCUGGCUGUUGUUUUCCAUUGCAAGGAGGUAGUAGUAGUUGUCCACAUAAUCCUCGAGGUCCUCCACUCUGAUCAGCAUGUGGUAUCUUCCUGUAUGUUAUUCCUUGAUAAUCCUGAAUUUUUUGCUAUGUUUUAGGUUAUUUUUGGUUGAAAAGGCAGGAGAAAAUUUGUAGUCUGAUUUAGCAGCUGGGCACUGCCAUGUUUAAUCCAAAUCUCAUCUCAGCGGUAUCGCGAUCUCAGCACACCUCAGACAUCUCAGUCAUAAUAUAUGAUAUAUACUUAACAUUUACAAUAAGUCUUUGCUGUAAGUGGGGGUAAGAACAUCAGUUAAACAUCAGGGAUAUCAAUCUGUCCAUUAAGGAAGCACGAGUGAUUGUGAAUGAAUUUCAACUUGCAAAUGAAAGUGACAAUGGAAGGCAAAAGCAAGACAACCCCCUGAACAAGAGAAUGGUUUUUGCCAGUGGUGACCACAGACAAUUGCUCUCUCCUGAUCCUUCCUGACUGAUUUUCUGUGAUCUUUUUGUGUCCUUGUCACUACUGGUAGCAUGAGGUGGUAGCUGCAACCUAAUCAGGUUGCUACCUGUGCAACCUGUAGCCCAAUCAGGCUCAGACUCCAUGAAGUUGGUAUGAAGGCCCAAUGUCCUCUAGUGGGACCUGUGGAUCUGCAAUCCCUCCCUGUGAUUGGCUUACACUGAUAAAUAUUCAUUGAUUUAACCAAUCAUCAUAGUCACUUUAAAAAGGGCGGUAACAUUGGUUCAUGCAGGGUAAAUUAUACACAAGACCAGAAUACAGCAACGAGAGACAUGGCAGAAAAGGCAGUAGGUGACAGACACACAUCACACGUAUGGAGGUACUUCACUCUAGACCACACAAACAGCAUGGUGACCUGCACAAUCUGCAAGUCGGUCUUAAAGUACAAUAAAAAUUCUAGCGUUAUGCACGGCCAUCUGAAUCGGCAUCCGCUAGCUAACCUGAGUGAUGCUGGCACUACAGGGAGUCGUCAUUUUUUUUCAUCCAAAUUUCAUUGUUAAAGAUGUGAGACCUUUGGCUGCAGUACAAGGCGAAGGCUUCAAAGAAAUUCUAAAUGUUUUUGAACCAGACUACACAGUCCUGAGCCACACCACACUCUGGACUAUGAUCAACCGGCAAUGUGACGCCCUGCGAGAGAGCGUCAAGGAGGAGAUGCAAGGCAGGAGUGUGUCGUUAACAACCAACCUGUGGACAUCUCCAACCAUGGAGCCGUACAUUACAGUAACUGCUCAUUACAUCACAAACACAGCUGAUUGCUGUGUUAUCUCCCCUGGCAAAAGCUACAAAAGUGAUGUGUGGCAAGUUGCAUGUGGGCCUGUCUUUCAUCUAUCCAGUGAUGUGCAACGUGAUCAUCACUGCCCUCUGUGUCCAAGACUCAGACAUGGGUGGAAUCCGCUCCUUCAAGAAGACUGUGCGAGAACAGCUGGUCACUGGCUUCAAACUGGAGUCUGAUGGUCUCGCAGAGUCAGUCCCAGUAGUCACCUUCAAACAUCUCCAGUUCCUUCCAGAACGCAUAAGAGAUUAUGCCCGUGACCACCUGCAUGAGCUGCUUCAGGAUGAGAUGACCAGCACCCAGCCCCUGACCCCAGACGGCUGCUACAGUUGAAAAUGAUGAUGAUGUCCAAGCUGCUGAAGAUAAAGCUGAUGAAGUAAUCAAGACUGGAAAAUGAUUUUGAGCAGCUUUUUGGACCCCACUUUGAGAGCGGCGCAAAGAGGCUCACUCCACUCCAGAUGCCGAACUCCGUGCAUAUUGCGUAACCCCUCAACUUCCAAUGAUGGAGAAUCCACUGCAGUGGUGGGCCCGCAACCAGCCCGACUUUCCUUGUUUAGCCAAACUGGCUUACCGCUACUUGGCUGUUCCAGCCACGAGCACCCCCAGCAAAAGGGUGUUCUCUCUGGCCAGGAAUACUAUCACCCAACAGCGUGCAAGCUUUCAUCCAGCACAUGUGGAUAAUCUAAUCUUUUUGCAUGAAAACCUGCAUUGCAAGUGCGCCAGGACUGUGAAAGAGGAAUAUGAGGGCGACUGUGAAUAGGGCUACUUUGAUUUUAAGCAAGUGUGUUUUAAUUUUUCUGUUAAUUUGUUAAUAAAAGUUACUCAUUGUUGGACAGCCGUGUUCCUCCAAUGUGUCAAUGUGAUGACGUCAUCAAACGACUUGUCGACUCGACUUCGACUUUAUUGACAGAUAAGUCGACCUGAAAAAGACUUAAGUCAUUAAUACCCUAGUCCACUAGAGAAAGGACUAUGACAUACUGCAAAGGUCACCACAUGGAAUAAAACAAAGGAAGUGGUGUUAUGCAAUUCCUCCACUUAACCACUACAUCAUCAGUAUGCCCCUCUCCUUUUCAUGCACAAAGCAUUAAAUAAGAUGCUUGCUUUGGUAUAUCAUUUAACAGUUAAUCUGAUCCUGAUGAAACACUCAGUGGGAUGUUUUUGAAUUCAACUUCAAUAGAGCUUAAAUAUUUUUUUAUAUUUUUCUCUUCUUUUGAUGUGAAUUUGAAUUUGAACUGCUUUUGCAUGGUGGCAUUUAUUCAUUCCCACCAUGUCCUGCUAUGAAUAAUGCCACCACACCACAGACUUUUCCUUGCAAUCAGGCUUUCAGAAUAACCUGUAAACUGAUACUGAGUACUGGGUGUCUAUGUGAAAGGAAGCUGUUCAAAUAGGUAUGAAAGAAUAGGUUCAUGUGUAAAAAUCAAUAAACAUUUCAGUGUGUAAUGUGCAGCUUGGUAUUCAGUGGUGGUGUGAAACCUGUUUCAUGUUGGGAAUCAGGAAAUGAUGGUGAGCAUUUGAAAGGCUCCCUCUGGACAAACAGCCCCUCAUUUUUUUUUUACCUUUUGUAUUACUUAUUGUGUUUUCAAUUAAAUAACACCUGUAUCUCAUUGUGAAUGGCAUAAUGAUGUAUUCACAGAGGUUAUGAGGCAAAUUAUACCAAGUUCAUGCCAGUUUGACUAUGGGGUCAUUCGUGUUUAUUUGUGUUAUUCUUGCGAAUUUGACCACAGGAUUAUUUGUGUUUAAUUGCUCCAAACAUGAUUAAAUUUUCAAAACUUCACCUGGUGUAAAGUCACAUGUAUUCACGUCUUUGCAUUGACUUUGCAAGAUACAUUUGCUUUAUGUUUUGUUGAGAACACACCAUCUUGAUUUGAAAUGAUGAUGAAAUGUAGAAAUAGGUCAUCAUAUCCAAAGUUAGAAUUCCAAAAUUUUCUUCAUUAAAGAUUUAUCUGUUUUCAUAACUGGAUUAGGGUCUUGCGUGAUAGCUGAAGAUACAUUUGAUACACUUGGUCAGUCUUAUGACUGAGACCUUCACCCAGUUUCUCACUUUAUAAUGUAGGUAGGUAAGGAUAUGCUGAGAUUAACUGCCUGUCUAUAGUGUCAUGUAUAAUCAAGUCAGCAAAAAUUGUAGCAUGUAUGGUAUUAGCUUGUUAGCCUCACCCUCUGUAAUUUUUCAGAUGUUUAAUGACUUUAUGGAUAGUUAGUGCACAGUGAUAUAGGACAUGGUUGGGUUAGCAUGUUUGCAAAAAGAAUAAUAUGUUGAUAUGUCAUUAAUGUUGUGUAAAUCAUGUUUUUCUUUAAUAAAUUAAUGUUUACUAGCAA